RNAcentral lists this ribosomal RNA (749 nucleotides) under Capnocytophaga ochracea. RNAcentral describes it as "bacterial SSU rRNA". It matches the Rfam family "Bacterial small subunit ribosomal RNA", at positions 28 to 776 of the family's 1533-position model. The record is from RNAcentral. Lineage: Bacteria; Pseudomonadati; Bacteroidota; Flavobacteriia; Flavobacteriales; Flavobacteriaceae.
GAUGAACGCUAGCGGCAGGCCUAACACAUGCAAGUCGAGGGGGAGGUUACUUUCGGGUAACUGAGACCGGCGUACGGGUGCGUAACGCGUAUACAAUCUGCCUUUCACUGGGGGAUAGCCCGAAGAAAUUUGGAUUAAUACCCCAUAGUAUAGUAGUGUGGCAUCACACAACUAUUAAAGCCUUGGUGGUGAAAGAUGAGUAUGCGUUCUAUUAGCUAGUUGGAGAGGUAACGGCUCCCCAAGGCGAUGAUAGAUAGGGGUUCUGAGAGGGAUGUCCCCCACACUGGUACUGAGAUACGGACCAGACUCCUACGGGAGGCAGCAGUGAGGAAUAUUGGACAAUGGUCGGAAGACUGAUCCAGCCAUGCCGCGUGCAGGAUGAAGGUCUUAUGGAUUGUAAACUGCUUUUGUAAGGGAAGAAUAAGGACUACGUGUAGUUUGAUGACGGUACCUUAUGAAUAAGCAUCGGCUAACUCCGUGCCAGCAGCCGCGGUAAUACGGAGGAUGCGAGCGUUAUCCGGAAUCAUUGGGUUUAAAGGGUCUGUAGGCGGGCUUGUAAGUCAGAGGUGAAAGCGCUCAGCUCAACUGAGCAACUGCCUUUGAAACUGUUGGUCUUGAAUGGUUGUGAAGUAGUUGGAAUGUGUAGUGUAGCGGUGAAAUGCUUAGAUAUUACACAGAACACCGAUAGCGAAGGCAUAUUACUAACAAUUAAUUGACGCUGAUGGACGAAAGCGUGGGGAGCGAACAGG